UGGUGCACCCAAUGCUGGUGAGUGGC
Molecule: non-coding RNA, 26 nt
Filed under: Homo sapiens (human)
Lineage: Eukaryota; Metazoa; Chordata; Mammalia; Primates; Hominidae
Source: RNAcentral